This 1306-nucleotide long non-coding RNA is filed under the name Triticum aestivum (bread wheat). Its description in RNAcentral is "long non-coding RNA (TAES_LNC008900)". Lineage: Eukaryota; Viridiplantae; Streptophyta; Magnoliopsida; Poales; Poaceae. The record is from RNAcentral.
AACACAUGUGUGCAGAUCUGAGAGAAAAGGAGAAGGGGAUGAAUCUUGAGGAAGAUCUUGGUGAAGAAAAAGGUGAUCUCUCUCUCUCUCUCUCUCUCUCUCUCUUUCUCUCAAGGUAGUCAUGUUCAUUUGUUCUACACGGGGCUAUGUUAUUUUGGUGUGCCAGAGAGUAGUUAUUGUCAGAAGAUUGCAUUCUUCAUGUGUUACAUAUGUCUUCUUCUUUAAACAAUGCUCUUCAAUUUCUGGAUUUGGUGCAAGUUCAAGGUCAUGUUUUUACACCCUAAUUGGUUAUAUUUUGUACACCAACUUGUUCGUUUAGUGGUGGUUCGUUACCUGGUUUACUUUUCUUCUGUUGGCAUACUCAUUGAAUUUUUACGACAGUAAAUGAUCUAUUUUAGUCCACUUUCAUCGAUUUGUAUUGCUGCUAUUUCUCAUGGGAUAUUCAGGAGUUGUGAACACAUAUUUUGUAGGUGUUCCUAAUGGCAAUGGUGGUAUAAUCAGCAAUGAGAAAGAAGGAACUGUGAUUGGAUUUGUACUAGGUAUAUUCCUCAUCUCUCUCAGUUCAUGGUCCAAUCAUCACCCUGAUGUAACUGCUUCUUCGCAACUGAUUGUUUAGAUUCUUGUUAGGCUGACCACUAAUUAAACUAUUUGUCCCCUUGUUAUAGCUAAUCAUCUAUCUUGUGAUCGGUCGGCUGCUGCGUAUGGUGGCAGCCACACAUGAUAGUGAAUGGAAUCUAAUCCGUAGUAAAGUUAGUGCUAAAUCGUAGGUGUGUAUAUUCAGGUUCAGUACACUUGAGCAAUUUUGUGAGGAUAUGUAGCUAAAAUUUCCAGUUUUUCCUUUCGUAGUUGCAGCAGUUUUUCUGUACCAACUGCUUCCUCUUAUUAGUAAUUUCACGUUAGAGGAGAAGGUUUAGUUUACUUUUCUUAGGUUGUGAAUUCCACAAACUUUGGUAUGUGCAUUUGGGCUUAUGAAGUUUGACAAAGCAGGCAAGGCAAACAAAACUGCUGCACCAGAAGAACCUGUGCUCCAGUCUGACGAAGCAGCCAGGCUGUAUAUACACAUCUUUGCUUCCUGAUCCGUUUUGUCACCCUUGAUGGUCAGGCUGAUGCUUCUUCGCUUGAUGCUGAAGAAAAGGAUGAUCAUAUUAAGAUCCCCAAGAACAACAGGUGCUGCAUCUUCUCUUGUAUCUUUAUCUGUGUACUUUAAAUUCACAUGGACAGUCGAAUUGUCUGUAUAUACACACCUUGAAAUUAAGAAACUCUGGUGGUGCAAAGGGAGUUAGGACAGGGAAGAAAUCAAAGCAGU